This 484-nucleotide ribosomal RNA is filed under the name uncultured bacterium. RNAcentral describes it as "partial 16S ribosomal RNA". It matches the Rfam family "Bacterial small subunit ribosomal RNA", at positions 29 to 523 of the family's 1533-position model. The record is from RNAcentral.
AGUGAACGCUGGCGGCGUGCUUAACACAUGCAAGUCGAACGAGAACGGAUUAUAGCUUGCUAUAAUUGUCAGCUAAGUGGCGCACGGGUGAGUAAUGUAUAGGUAGUAUGCCUUUUACUAAGGAAUAACAAAUGGAAACGUUUGCUAAUACCUUAUACUCCUUAUUAACCUAAGUUAAUAAGGGAAAGAUUUAUUGGUAAGAGAUUAGCCUGUAUUGUAUCAGUUAGUUGGUGGGGUAAUGGCUUACCAAGACUAUGACACAUAACUGGCUUGAGAGGAUGAUCAGUCACACUGGAACUGAGACACGGUCCAGACUCCUACGGGAGGCAGCAGUGGGGAAUAUUGCACAAUGGACGGAAGUCUGAUGCAGCAACGCCGCGUGGAGGAUGACACAUUUCGGUGCGUAAACUCCUUUUAUAUGAGAAGAUAAUGACGGUAUUAUAUGAAUAAGCACCGGCUAACUCCGUGCCAGCCGCCGCAGUAA